This 2580-nucleotide long non-coding RNA is filed under the name Homo sapiens (human). RNAcentral's name for it is "HSALNT0122026". The record is from RNAcentral. Lineage: Eukaryota; Metazoa; Chordata; Mammalia; Primates; Hominidae.
GCCACCUGGGAGGCUGAGAUGAGAGGAGUGCUUAUGCCCUGGAGGUCAACGCUGCAGUGAGCUGUGAUUGCACCACUGCACUCCACCUGACAGAGUGACACCCCCCCAUCUCUAAAAAAUAAAAAAAAAAAAGUGGGAAGAACAAUCACACCACGGUUUAACUGAUCAGCUACGAUGGGAACUGUGAAAGGCAUUCCACAGAGUGAAUCAAGGCUUCAGGAGGAGGCCCUGACUUAUCCUGGAGGCAGAGGGUUCUCCCAGGAAUGGCGUCUUAGCUGAAGCCUGACCCAGAAGGUAGACGGGCAGGAACGAGGUAAUGUGGAGACUGUUGGGAGCAGGCAAGGACUUCAUCCCAAGGCAAUGGGAGGCCCUCUGUACUCCCUCUUGUGAUAACUGCUUCCCUUCUUUCGGGCAGUGCUCCUGACCCCACUCUAGCUGUGUGGGUGGGUCCCUACCUGGUUGAGUCAACCAGAUCCCAUCCCUGGGAUUUUAAACUUGGAACCAGAAGGAGAGUGAUCAUCACCUCUUUUCUAGGGUGAAUCAAUGAGAAGUGAGGCUCCGAAGCUUGGAUCUCAAGUUCACAGAAGCAGCUGGUUGAGGGUGAAGCUUGCACACAGAGGCCAAGGAAGGAUGCCUACCCAUGUCCAGCUGCCCCAGGGCCCUUUCAGGACUGCUAUUUUGAGCCCCUUCCUUCCUUAACUGGUUUGAAUUGGUCACCGUCACUUGCAACCUAUUGAGUCCUAGCUAAUGUACCAUGACAGGGUUCAAGACUUGGUCAGAGAAGAGCUGGGGUAUAGGAUGCUGGGGAAGGGUACCCAUUAAUCCUCCCUUCUAAGUGGUAACUGAGAGAAUGAACAAGAACAAUAUACAGUUAAAUGAAAAUAAAAAGGCACAGUGGCUCAAGCCUAUAAUCCCAGCACUUUGGGAGGCCGAGGCAGGCAGAUCACAAGGUCAGGAGUUCGAGACCAGCCUAACCAACAUGGUGAAACCCCAUCUCUACUAAAAUUACAAGAAUUAGCCAGGCGUGAUGGCGCGCCACCUGUAAUCCCAGCUGCUCAGGAGGCUGAGCAGGAGAAUCACUUGAACCCGGGAGGCGGAAGUUGCAGUGAGCUGAGAUCAUGCCACUGCACUCCAGCCUGGGCGACAGAGCAAGACUCCGUCUUAAAAAAAAAAAAAAAGAAAAUAAACACAGACGCUUUAAGGAUCAGUUAACAACAAGACACAGACUCUAAUAUUCACUGACAUAAAGUUUCAGAAAGGGCAAAAUUAAUCUCUGGUGACAGGGGCCAGAACAGUGAUGACCUGGGGUGGGGUGUGGGUUGGUCUCUCCUGUGAGGUUUGGAAGGGCAGGUACACACGCGUGUGCACUUACCAAAACCUACUGCACUGUGCAUCCGACUGCACUGAUGUCCCUGGCUUCUUUGAGGCAACUUGGGUGACAGGCCAUCCUCCUAACUAGUUCUCCCCAAGUGCUGGGAUCACAGGUGUGAGCCACUGCACCUGGCCCUGUUCAGAUUUUCUAUUUUUCCUGGGACAAUUUUGGUCAUUUGUAUCUUUCUAGGAAUUUUUUUGUUGUUGUUUUGAGACAGAGUCUCACUCUGUCACCCAAGCUGGAGUGCAAUGGCAUGAUCUCAGCUCACUGCAACCUCUGCCUCCUGGGUUCAAGUGAUUUUCCUGCCUCAGCCUCGUGAAUAGCUGGGAUUACAGGUGUGAGCCACCACGCCUGGCUAAUUUUUGUGUUUUUAGUAGAGACAGGGUUUCACCACUUUGGCCAGGUUGGUCUCGAACUUCUGACCUCAGGUGAUCUGCCUGCCUCGGCCUCCCAAAGUGCCGCGAUUACAGGCGUGAGCCACCACACCCAGCCAAGAUGUCGCAUCUUUUUAAAUGUUGGCAUUUGCAGCUAUAAAUUUCCCUCAGAGCAGUUUUUGCCGCAUUCCUUAAGUUCUGGUAUGUUGUUUUCAUCCAUCUCUAUUUCCUAAUUUUUCUCGUGAUUUCUCCUUUGACCCUUUGGCUGUUAAAAAGUGUGUUCAAUUUCUAUGUAUGUGUGAAUUUUCAUUUUCCUUCUGGUAUGGAUUUCUGGUUUUAUUCCAUUGUGAUUGGAGAAGGUGGUUUGCAGGAUUCCGAUCUCUAAUUUACUGAGACUUGCUUUGUGCACUAACGUGUGGUCUGUCCUGGAGAACGUUCCCUGUGCACUUAGAAACGUGUGUUCUGCUGCUAUUGGGUGGAGCACUGUUAAGUCUGGUCAGCCUUUUGGUUUUUAUGUAAUACUUGGCACAUUCACAAGAAAAUGUGUGAAACAGAAAGUACGACAAAGUGAAACCCACGAAGCCACCACUGACCCUGAGGUUCAAAACCUCCAGCAUCUCUGCUCUUCCCUAAGCACAGCUCCGUCCCCUCCCCACGGGUGAGCACUGUGUUGUACUGACUCCCUGCCCUCCCUGAUGACUUUAGCACCUGGGUAUGAAUUCCACACAUAUUUGGUUUUGAGCUUUAUAAAAAUGGCAUCAUACUGUAUGAACUGUCUUGCUUUUUCAUCCCACGUUGUUUCUGAGAGGUGUUUGUGAUGGAGCACAGGGCCAC